UGUUGGAUGCCCCAGCUUGCCUGUUU
Molecule: non-coding RNA, 26 nt
Filed under: Homo sapiens (human)
Lineage: Eukaryota; Metazoa; Chordata; Mammalia; Primates; Hominidae
Source: RNAcentral